RNAcentral lists this ribosomal RNA (435 nucleotides) under uncultured Lachnospiraceae bacterium. RNAcentral's name for it is "partial 16S ribosomal RNA". It matches the Rfam family "Bacterial small subunit ribosomal RNA", at positions 341 to 792 of the family's 1533-position model. Lineage: Bacteria; Bacillati; Bacillota; Clostridia; Lachnospirales; Lachnospiraceae. The record is from RNAcentral.
ACGGAAGGCAGCAGUGGGGAAUAUUGCACAAUGGAGGAAACUCUGAUGCAGCGACGCCGCGUGAGUGAUGAAGUAUUUCGGUAUGUAAAGCUCUAUCAGUAGGGAAGAUAAUGACGGUACCUAACUAAGAAGCACCGGCUAAAUACGUGCCAGCAGCCGCGGUAGUACGUAUGGUGCAAGCGUUAUCCGGAUUUACUGGGUGUAAAGGGAGCGUAGGUGGUUUGGCAAGCCAGAAGUGAAAACCCGGGGCUCAACCCCGUGGAUUGCUUUUGGAACUGUUGAACUAGAGUGCAGGAGGGGUAAGUGGAAUUCCCAGUGUAGCGGUGAAAUGCGUAGAUAUUGGGAAGAACACCGGUGGCGAAGGCGGCUUACUGGACUGUAACUGACACUGAGGCUCGAAAGCGUGGGGAGCAAACAGGAUUAGAUACCCUGGUA